GACGAACGCUGGCGGCGUGCCUAAUACAUGCAAGUCGAACGCACAGUUUAUACCUUUGCUUGCUACACCAUAGACGGUGAGUUGCGAACGGGUGAGUAACGCGUAGCUUACCUGCCUGGUAGCGUGGGAUAACUAUUGGAAACACUAGCUAAUACCUCAUACUAUUAAUUAUUGCAUGAUAAUUGAUGGAAAUUUGCAACUGCAUCACUACCAGAUGGACCUGCGUUGUAUUAGCUAGUAGGUGAGGUAACGGCGCACCUAGGCGACGAUACAUAGCCGACCGGAGAGGGUGAUCAGCCACACUGGGACUGAGACACGGCCCAGACGCCUACGGGAGGCAGCAGUAGGGAAUCUUCGGCAAUGGACGGAAGUCUGACCGAGCAACGCCGCGUGAGGGAAGAAGGUUUUCGGAUCGUAAAGCUCUGUUGUAAGGGAAGAAAGGGUGUGAGAGUGGAAAGUUCACACUGUGACGGUAUCUUACCAGAAAGGGACGGCUAACUACGUG
This 505-nucleotide ribosomal RNA is filed under the name uncultured bacterium. RNAcentral's name for it is "partial 16S ribosomal RNA". It matches the Rfam family "Bacterial small subunit ribosomal RNA", at positions 28 to 507 of the family's 1533-position model. The record is from RNAcentral.